GUGCACCUUUUGGCAGCACAUUUACUAAAACUGGAACAAUACAGAGAAAGUUAGCAUGGACGUGUGCAAGGAUCAUGUGCAAAAUCGUGAAGCAAUCCCCCCUCCC
This is a small nuclear RNA of Phyllostomus hastatus (greater spear-nosed bat), 106 nucleotides long. The record is from RefSeq and is a predicted model, not a curated record. Lineage: Eukaryota; Metazoa; Chordata; Mammalia; Chiroptera; Phyllostomidae.